UACGUAGGGGGCAAGCGUUGUCCGGAAUCAUUGGGCGUAAAGCGCGUGUAGGCGGCUUGGUAAGUCCGUUCUGAAAGCCCGGGGCUCAACCCCGGGAGGCGGAUGGAUACUGUCAAGCUUGAGUCCGGAAGAGGCGAGUGGAAUUCCCGGUGUAGCGGUGAAAUGCGCAGAUAUCGGGAGGAACACCGGUGGCGAAGGCGGGACUCUGGGCCGAUACUGACGCUGAGGAGCGAAAGCGUGGGGAGCGAACAGG
RNAcentral lists this ribosomal RNA (253 nucleotides) under uncultured bacterium. RNAcentral's name for it is "partial 16S ribosomal RNA". It matches the Rfam family "Bacterial small subunit ribosomal RNA", at positions 524 to 776 of the family's 1533-position model. The record is from RNAcentral.